Cercocebus atys (sooty mangabey) is the source of this 2925-nucleotide long non-coding RNA. RefSeq lists it as uncharacterized. The record is from RefSeq and is a predicted model, not a curated record. The transcript has 3 exons. NCBI's taxonomy places the organism in Eukaryota, Metazoa, Chordata, Mammalia, Primates, Cercopithecidae.
CAAACAAUUCACUCUGGUUUUCCUGGGACUUUCGAGGUUUUAAAGCAGCAAGUCCAGAGACCUGGGAGCUGGAGCCCUCUCAGUCUCAAGCAGUUGGGGCUGAGGGUCACCCUGGCUGUGUAUUGUGAGAGUUUGCUCUUACAGCCUCCCUCCCUUCCCAUGCUCUCUCCUGCUCCGUUGACCCCCCACCCCAGGUCUCCCCUGCUGGGACCAGGUCUCCCCACUCCCUCCAAAUCCCAAAUCACCCAGGGUUCCUUCACCUGCCACAGCUAGGAAGCCAAGAAUCUUCCAAUUCAAACCUGACAUGGCUCCAUGGAGAGCUGGCUGCUCUGCAACGGGCCCAGUUUUCAAUCAUGUAUUUCCUCCGGACUCUGAUUCAGCCGGAUGGUCUGACUCACACAGUCGUCAGACAUAUAUCAACAAGUGUGUCUCUGCCGUCUGCCUGGAGGCCAGAGCCUCCUGGUGAGCCCUUGGUUCAAGGGCUCACACCUAGUGGGCAAAAGCGGUCAAGUUCCCUUAAUUUUCAUGCCCCCAAGAGCCAUCUGCCCUCCACCUGGCUCUGCGGGAAUCUGGCGCAGGCCUGGUACCCAGAGGACAGGGAGAUGUGUGUUGAGCGAAUCGUGAGCACCUGGAGGGAACAGCUGGCACUUCACCUGCUCAGCCUCUCCCCUCGCCUGGGUGUCAGCACCUGCAAGUCUUCCUGUGAAUCGCCUGCUGUCCGCAUGGUCUGUGUGUGCGCGCAUGUGCGUAUGCCUGCAUGCGUGUUGGGCUACCAGGCACAGGGGCUCAGAGGGUCCCUGCUGGCAGGAGCAGGUCUUCCCACGCUCAUCUCCUGUCCUUUCUCUGAGACCCCGCAGGAGGCUCUGUCUCCUCUCCCCAGGGCUGGCUUCCACCUGGCAAAGAAGGCUGUGCCCAGCAGGGAGGGAGGAGGGCAUCCUCUGCCUGCCCUGCCAUGCUUUGUGUUCUCUCUGCUCAGAUGCACAGAGCCGCAUCUCCUGACUGCAGCUCCAGGGACCCUCUCCCCUGGCUGGAGUUCCGGGGACCGUCUCCGCUGGCUGCAGCUCCAGGGACCGUCUCCUCCUGCUCGCGGUUGGUUUCUCAGUGUGAAUGAGACUCUGCUCCACCCGACCAGGCAGAGGGCUUGGGAUCUGCAGUCCGACCCAGGGGCUUCAAGUCUUGGCUCUGCCACCUCCAGAGUGAGCGACCUUAGGUGGCCCUGAGCUUCGGCUUCCUCCUCUGGAGUAUGGGGAUGUUAACUGUGCCUCACGUUCAUGGGUGUGGAUGAGAUGGCGCUGCCCACGUGGUGGGCACAGUAAGGAUCCCAAGGAUGUUCAUGCCAGACUCUCCAGAACCUGUGAAUAUGUUGGGGCACCUGCCAAAGGGGAUUAGGGGGCAGGCGGAUUAAGGCAGCUCAUCAACCACGAGAUGGGGAGGCUGUGCUGGGUUGUCCUGGGCCCAGAGGAGUCACAAAGGCCCUUAAAUGUGGAAGAGAGAGACAGGAGAACCAGAGUGACGGCAGCCUGAGAGGGUCUGGCACAUUGGACGCACAGGGAGCCCCGGCGCUGUCCUCACAGCACAGCAGGCCAGCUGUGAGCAUCCCACACUGGCCGCGUCCAGAGAGCCUGGCUGAAUGAUGAGUGAAUGAAGGAUGGCUAAAGUGGGCUGGGGAGGUGGGAAGAGGCCGCCGGGGCCCCGUCCCUGCUGUACACCAGACCUCUCCCCUCCAAGACAGCACGAGGGGCCCAGGGUCCCCCAGGCUCUCUUUGCCCACCCUGGCUGCACCCGUCCUGGCCUUCACCUCCAAGCAGAAGGCGCUCAGGACGAGAGCCCAGCUCCACACGGCUCAGAGACCACUCCCCUCCUGUCCAGCUCUGGUGUCUCAAGCUGUGCUUCGGAGAGUGAGGACAGAGGGGGCCUCUCAGGACAGGCCAACCCGGUAUGAGGACAGAGCAGGCAGAGGCCACAGUCCAGGUGGCUGCAGCUGCUCCGCACCUGGAGCUUGCUGGACUGUGAACAGGAGCAAGGACUGACGCCCUGCAUCCCGGCACCCUGCACCCCAGCAUCCUGCACCCUGAUGUCCCUGCUGGGGCCUUGCGGGCUCUUGGGACUCCUGCCUGCCCAGCCCACUGAGUGCCUCCGCGCUGGCUGACCGGCGGGGCUGCUACAGCAAGCACAUUCACGGGGAGAGCACCGGAUGUCUGGGGGAACUGGCUGAGGUGGGGCAGUUUGGGAAGACUUGUCCAAGGAGGACACGUUCACCGAGUCCUGGAAUGUGCACAGCCUUGACUCCUGUCCACCCAGCAAUCUCACCGUGCGCCCUUCCAGGCCUGCUGAGCAGAACCGCGUGGAAGGGUGAAGCAGAGACAGCCUGGAGUCACCUUGGAUUGUGAAACCCAUCAGCAAGUUUAAAGAAAUCAGCCAAGAGACACACAAAGAAAGCUGAUGUUUUGGAGGAAACAGGGAAUUAGGUAGAUUAUCUUCUGAGGAAAGAAGAUCCAUUUCCAAGACAUAUUUCAAUGCAGCCCAGUUUCCUAAAAAUUAUUCCUGGGAAGGGCUUGCUAUGAACGCACCUCAGGCCGAUGGACACAGAGAGUGUCCCUUAGAAUUUCCUGUGAUGUUCCCACCAAUUUCUCUGGACCAGGUUUAAAACUGAUGAAUAGCAGCCCCCAGCCCCCUAAGCCCGUUCCCUUUUCUCCUCAUGCCCUCCCUGGCCUACCUAUACUCUCCUCUCUGCCUCCUGCUAGAAGGAGGGUUCCUGAUUGCUGGGCCCCCAGCGGAAAGCCAUUUUCUUUUUGCAAUUUGCUUUUGGGAAAAAGACAACACACAGGCAACACAGGCGAUGCAGAGGGCCAAGCCAGCCCAUCUGUUCCAUCUGCAAAACAGAAGUAGCAUUUUGUCUGCUCUCACCCAGAAGCUGCGGGCUUA